This 71-nucleotide transfer RNA is filed under the name Lygodactylus capensis (Cape dwarf gecko). RNAcentral's name for it is "tRNA-Tyr". Lineage: Eukaryota; Metazoa; Chordata; Lepidosauria; Squamata; Gekkonidae. The record is from RNAcentral.
GGUAGUGUGGCCGAGCAAGAGGCAGUGAGUUGUAGCCUCACUUACUGGGAGUACACCCACGCUACCAAGCC